This 327-nucleotide long non-coding RNA is filed under the name Prunus persica (peach). Its description in RNAcentral is "long non-coding RNA (PPER_LNC008318)". Lineage: Eukaryota; Viridiplantae; Streptophyta; Magnoliopsida; Rosales; Rosaceae. The record is from RNAcentral.
GGUAACCAGAACACUUCCUAAGGUUUUGCUCCCCUUUCGAAGUGCUUUUGGGGCUUGAUUUUCGAACUCAAGCACAGGGGGCAAUUUCAGUAAUUUCCCUUUUCUGGCAGCCUAGCCCAUUUACAGCUGCUGGAAGAAAAAGACCCCCACAUAAAUUGGCGACUCUGCUGGGGAUUAAGCCACUAUCUUUACCAAUGCCUCCAAGGAGAAGGACCAGAAGCAACAACAUGAUCUCCCAAGAUGGGCCUAGCCAUGGCGAUUCAGAAUCAAGGCACAGCGCCUCAUCCAGAGGAGAGGAACGUGCAAGUGAGGGAGCUUUCACCCUCG